Mycena latifolia is the source of this 98-nucleotide non-coding RNA. Lineage: Eukaryota; Fungi; Basidiomycota; Agaricomycetes; Agaricales; Mycenaceae. The record is from the annotation of a GenBank genome assembly.
GCGUCCUUGGUGUAGCGGUAACACACUGUCUGAUCUUGGCACGGCAGACCAUGUUAUGAUAUUAGGCAGAGUCCGGGGUUCAAGCCUCCGAGGAUGCA